Chelonia mydas (Green sea turtle) is the source of this 1105-nucleotide long non-coding RNA. RefSeq lists it as uncharacterized. NCBI's taxonomy places the organism in Eukaryota, Metazoa, Chordata, Testudines, Cheloniidae. The record is from RefSeq and is a predicted model, not a curated record. The transcript has 2 exons.
CAAGCUCUCACUCAACUAGUUGCAAGGACUCUGGACCGCAGGUAGGAACCUCUAAACUCAGGGUGGACUUGCCUUGGGGUAGGUGGGCACUCAGUAUAGCAGAGCAGUCCUUGAAAAAGGACAGACAUGGCUUUUAAUUACAACAGCUUCCUACCACUUUGCUUUCCAAUCUAUCUUGAGGGAGAAUCCAUAACUUACCACCUCCAGGAGAAGACCCUGAAUGUACCAUCACGCACAAUCAUACAUGGGGGUUAGAUAAGUUAUCCGAGCAGCUCUCUUCCAUCUAACUUAUAGGAAUCUAAUUUAGAAGCAAAACUGCUACCUUCCAUACAUGAAAUUCUAGAGUGAAAACACUUCAGACUCCUACAAGACUUAAAGUGGAGGAAGCAUUGUUUCAAGGUUAAUGGCAUUCCAACAUUAAAAACAUUGUUGCAUUAAAUAUGUGCAAUAUUGACACCUUUGGCAUGCAAAAAAUCAUGACUCAUGCUGUAGAAAAACCAUGAGACUUGCUUAAAAAUCAUAAAAUUGGGGCAUUUUUGUUUUGUUUCUUUUAGGUGCAGUUGGAUUAUGGUUUCAAACUUUUCUCAAGAGCCAGGAGGACUAGGAACUUAGCUUUGAUGAUUUUAAAAGCAACAAAAUCUGGACCUUAACAAAACCAACACCAUCUCAGAUGCAGGGUUCUGGAUAGACAGCAAGAUGCACUGUAGUAUUUACGUGAAAAAAUUCAUAUUUGAUCUGUCUACAAACCAAAACACCUCCUAUGAGACUGAGUGGCAUUCUCAGAGGCACCUAACCCAGUUGUGUCAAAGUCCUGUUGAAACUCAAGCAAUUGAAGGUGUACAAGUUUCUACCUCCUGACCCCAAGCAAGGAUGUAAGCCAAGACCCUCUUAGUGCCAAUGGGAGAUUUGAGUGUUUUAGGUACACUGUAGUGACUCUGUAUUCCUGCUACUGAAAAUAAUUGCCACCUAACAAAGCUGGAUGAAUGGCAACACAAUGGCAAAUGAAACUGUGUUGACAAAUGUAAGGGAAUGAAUGUCCAUUGGAAUAAUUUGACCUUUUUGUGUAGAUGUAGUUGGGUUUUAAAUAAACUUGGUCUGUAUGGCU